RNAcentral lists this ribosomal RNA (212 nucleotides) under uncultured Thiobacillus sp. Its description in RNAcentral is "partial 16S ribosomal RNA". It matches the Rfam family "Bacterial small subunit ribosomal RNA", at positions 1171 to 1382 of the family's 1533-position model. The record is from RNAcentral. Lineage: Bacteria; Pseudomonadati; Pseudomonadota; Betaproteobacteria; Nitrosomonadales; Thiobacillaceae.
AAGUGGGGAUGACGUCAAGUCCUCAUGGCCCUUAUGGGUAGGGCUUCACACGUCAUACAAUGGUCGGUACAGAGGGUUGCCAAGCCGCGAGGUGGAGCCAAUCCCAGAAAGCCGAUCGUAGUCCGGAUUGUUCUCUGCAACUCGAGAGCAUGAAGUCGGAAUCGCUAGUAAUCGCGGAUCAGCAUGUCGCGGUGAAUACGUUCCCGGGCCUU